AUAUUACUAAGCGGAGGAGAAGAAAUUAACUAAGAUUGCCUUAGUAAGGGCGACUGAACCGGCAAAAGCUCGAAAUUAAAAUCGGUAAUCCAAUGGAUUCCCGAAUUGUAAUCAGGGUUGCCUAAAUACGGGAGGUUUCUCAAGUGUCUCGAAAGGCACGCCAAAGAGGGUGAAAGCCCCGUGCAGGGAUCUCUCGAACAAGGUAAUUCGACGAAGAGUCGUGUUGCUUGGAACUGCAGCACUAAGUGGGAGAUAUGAUUCUUCCAAAGCUAAAUAUGGAUGGGAGACCGAUAGCGCACAAGUA
This 304-nucleotide ribosomal RNA is filed under the name uncultured eukaryote. Its description in RNAcentral is "partial large subunit ribosomal RNA". It matches the Rfam family "Eukaryotic large subunit ribosomal RNA", at positions 40 to 350 of the family's 3401-position model. The record is from RNAcentral.